RNAcentral lists this ribosomal RNA (429 nucleotides) under Gemmatimonadota bacterium. RNAcentral describes it as "Gemmatimonadetes bacterium partial 16S ribosomal RNA". It matches the Rfam family "Bacterial small subunit ribosomal RNA", at positions 355 to 776 of the family's 1533-position model. The record is from RNAcentral. Lineage: Bacteria; Pseudomonadati; Gemmatimonadota.
UAGGGAAUCUUCGGCAAUGGACGAAAGUCUGACCGAGCAACGCCGCGUGAGUGAAGAAGGUUUUCGGAUCUUAAAACUCUGUUGUUAGAGAAGAACAAGGACGUUAGUAACUGAACGUCCCCUGACGGUAUCUAACCAGAAAGCCACGGCUAACUACGUGCCAGCAGCCGCGGUAAUACGUAGGUGGCAAGCGUUGUCCGGAUUUAUUGGGCGUAAAGCGAGCGCAGGCGGUUUCUUAAGUCUGAUGUGAAAGCCCCCGGCUCAACCGGGGAGGGUCAUUGGAAACUGGGAGACUUGAGUGCAGAAGAGGAGAGUGGAAUUCCAUGUGUAGCGGUGAAAUGCGUAGAUAUAAGGAGGAACACAAGUGGCGAAGGCGGCUCUCUGGUCUGUAACUGACGCUGAGGCUCGAAGGCGUGGGGAGCAAACAGG